RNAcentral lists this ribosomal RNA (369 nucleotides) under uncultured Psychrobacter sp. Its description in RNAcentral is "bacterial SSU rRNA". It matches the Rfam family "Bacterial small subunit ribosomal RNA", at positions 446 to 813 of the family's 1533-position model. The record is from RNAcentral. Lineage: Bacteria; Pseudomonadati; Pseudomonadota; Gammaproteobacteria; Moraxellales; Moraxellaceae.
CCUAACGGUUAAUACCCGUUAGCGAUGACAUUAGCUGCAGAAUAAGCACCGGCUAACUCUGUGCCAGCAGCCGCGGUAAUACAGAGGGUGCAAGCGUUAAUCGGAAUUACUGGGCGUAAAGCGAGCGUAGGUGGCUUGAUAAGUCAGAUGUGAAAUCCCCGGGCUUAACCUGGGAACUGCAUCUGAAACUGUUAGGCUAGAGUAGGUGAGAGGGAAGUAGAAUUUCAGGUGUAGCGGUGAAAUGCGUAGAGAUCUGAAGGAAUACCGGUGGCGAAGGCAGCUUCCUGGCAUCAUACUGACACUGAGGCUCGAAAGCGUGGGUAGCAAACAGGAUUAGAUACCCUGGUAGUCCACGCCGUAAACGAUGUC